Molecule: long non-coding RNA, 389 nt
Filed under: Malus domestica (apple)
Lineage: Eukaryota; Viridiplantae; Streptophyta; Magnoliopsida; Rosales; Rosaceae
Description: long non-coding RNA (MDOM_LNC009149)
Source: RNAcentral
UGGUUGGUGAGAAUAAGGGCAAGGUGUCUAGGCACAUUGUAGCAAGUGUCGAAUGACACAAAAUAUGUUGAACCUUUUCAAAGCACAGUUGGCUUAUGUAUGAAUGUGUUGGAAUGUAUGAUUGAACGAAUAUACUGUGAAGCUGUUCGUUUAUUUGUAUAGUCUUGUUGACAUAUACUUAGACUUUGUUUCAUGUUGGAAGCAUUCAUGUUGAAGCUUUGAACCCGAAUGUUUCAUUGCUAGAAAUGUAAGAGGAUUAGGAUUAAGUUGUCUAAAUCACCUCUUUAUUGAAUUCAUGCCAAAUAGUCUUCGUUACAUAGGAUGCCGAGCGGCUGAAGCUUAACACUUGUACAAUGUGAGUUUACUUGUAAUAGUACUUCAAGUGAUCA